RNAcentral lists this ribosomal RNA (254 nucleotides) under uncultured bacterium. RNAcentral describes it as "partial 16S ribosomal RNA". The record is from RNAcentral.
CUGCUGCCUCCCGUAGGAGUCUGGGCCGUGUCUCAGUCCCAGUGUGGCUGGUCGUCCUCUCAGACCAGCUACUGAUCGUUGCUUUGGUGAGCCGUUACCUCACCAACCGGCUAAUCAGUCAUCGGCCGCUCCGCUCGCGAGAGGCCCUUGCGGGUCCCCCUCUUUCUUCCGUAGAACACAUGCGGUAUUAGCCAACCUUUCGGCUGGUUGUCCCCCACGAGCGGACACGUUCCGAUGUAUUACUCACCCGUUCG